Molecule: long non-coding RNA, 691 nt
Organism: Physella acuta
Lineage: Eukaryota; Metazoa; Mollusca; Gastropoda; Physidae
Source: RefSeq, a predicted model, not a curated record
UUUGGAUUUUAUCUAAGCCAACUGUAGGCCUAGGCUUCUGAAUUUGACUGGGCUGUAGGCCAACGCGGUUCGUCCGAAAAAUUUAAGCUUCAACUAUGAAAAGGUUGCAAAAUUGGAAACAGUUCAAAAGUUGCUAUGGGGUGUCCAUGGAGAGUUUAGUGAAACUUUGACAGUGAAUGCAGAAAGCAGACAACUAGAUGGCAAAUCUGUGCUAACUGAUGCCUGGCAACUGUGUCACUUUGAUCUUAAUACAAUAACACCAGAGGAAGCUAUGCAAGCUGAGUUCAGUUUCUGGUGCUAUGGAGAAAACACAAUGCAUGCUCACAUGGUUUACUGUAGCAUUUCCUGGCACUGUUUCCCUUGACACCUCACUGUAUGCCUUGUGUGACUGUGAGAGUGGGGAAAAGCAGCACCACCAAAUGUGAGGGUGGGGGGUGAAUGAAGAUGAAGAGAAGAUCCCAUGUGACCGGUCAGCUCCUGUAUAUCCAAAAGUCUGUUUAACUAAGGCCAACACAUUGGGGACAGACAUUAAGGCUGUUUCGGGCAUUUACAUUAUGCAUCAGUGGAAAACAAAAGAUUUUGGAUUAUUCAUAUUGAAUACCAACCAUGGAAAGAAGCACACACAACAGUGGCAGUGUUCAAAUUAAAACCUUGUUCCAUUUGAUUUUAUUUGUAAAUGCCUUAUUUUGAA